RNAcentral lists this ribosomal RNA (422 nucleotides) under uncultured bacterium. RNAcentral's name for it is "bacterial SSU rRNA". It matches the Rfam family "Bacterial small subunit ribosomal RNA", at positions 355 to 774 of the family's 1533-position model. The record is from RNAcentral.
UGAGGAAUAUUGGUCAAUGGACGCAAGUCUGAACCAGCCAAAUCGCGUGAAGGAUGACUGCCCUACGGGUUGUAAACUUCUUUUAUAAGGGAAUAAAAAAGACUACGUGUAGUUUAUUGCAUGUACCUUAUGAAUAAGCAUCGGCUAACUCCGUGCCAGCAGCCGCGGUAAUACGGAGGAUGCGAGCGUUAUCCGGAUUUAUUGGGUUUAAAGGGUGCGCAGGCGGAUUUUUAAGUCAGCGGUGAAAUCUUGAGGCUCAACCUCAAACCUGCCGUUGAAACUGUUAAUCUUGAGUAUGGAUGAAGUAGGCGGAAUUCGUUGUGUAGCGGUGAAAUGCUUAGAUAUAACGAGGAACCCCGAUUGCGUAGGCAGCUUACUAAACCAUAACUGACGCUCAUGCACGAAAGUGUGGGUAUCCAACA